This is an RNA transcript of Triticum dicoccoides, 2658 nucleotides long. RefSeq lists it as uncharacterized. Lineage: Eukaryota; Viridiplantae; Streptophyta; Magnoliopsida; Poales; Poaceae. The transcript has 10 exons. The record is from RefSeq and is a predicted model, not a curated record.
AACGCCCGCACGCCUCGCACACACGGCCCCAGCCGUCCCUCAAUUCCCUUCUCCUCCUUGCCCUCGUUUUCUCCUCCCUGGCUAGGUUAUCACCGCCGCCACCUUCGGCACCAUCCCAGCUCGCAGCCUCGGUCGAUUUGCUCUGCGUCUCCAAUCGUCCAAAGAUCCCAACCCUAUCAUCAUCUCCUACCACGAGCUCGGCGACGAGAUCGGACACGGCAAGUUCGGCUCCGUUCGGAUCUAUGAGGUUCGUGCUGAUCGGGCGGGUGGCCCUGGUGAACUACAGCAAGGACUACGGCCGCCUCGUCGUCAUCGUCGACGUUGUUGACCAGAACAGGCUGCAUUGCUCUGUUUACACUUAUACCACUGCUUAUUGGUAUAUCCCCAAGAACGUCGAGGACACGGUCCACCGCGAGGUCGAGAUUGUGCAACACCUCUCGGGCCACCCUGCCGUCGUCACGCUGAAGGCCGUCUGCGGCGGCUGCAAAUCGAAGCAGCUGAAAGGGGCAAGGCGAUUGGGAGUCAGGGACUACAUAUCCCUCCUCUCCUUUAUUUUCUGUCCAAAAUAUAAGGAAGACGUAUGGGUUCUCGUCAAAUGCAAGUUGUACUACUGUGAAAAAGUGUACUAAUUUUUACAGUGCAUUAACUUGAUCAUGGGAUUCUCCAUGAUGGCAACAAAGAGACAGCAUGGGGUGGAGAUGCAGGUCAUCAGUACACUGAAGGCGCUGCGUUCUGUCGGGGUGUUGGGUUCGAUGCAGAGCAUCGGAGACGUUGCCAUUGUCCUUGCACGACUCAUCAGAUCCAACCUCGAGCCCGCGCCAGCUGUGUACGGAGCCCUUGCUACGGUGCUCAGCCUCUGCAACUGCAACUCAAUGUUCUGAAUGGAGUCAGUUGGGGUCGUCUAUAAAUUUGCUUGUGAUGUGCUUGCAAACCAAGACUUUGUUGAGGCUUUUCUGCGGGGUCAGGGGAGACCCAGUGAUCAAGCGGCAGCGGCCUACAGCCUGGGAGACCUGCACAAGGGAGCCGCCAAGAUCUCCAACGACAUCCUCGACUCUGUCGGGGUUUCAGUAUAUGCAACAACAGAAAAUUCGAUAACAGUAUACGCGACAAAUGGUGCUAUUUGCUUUCGCUGCAAUCUCCUCAUACUUACCAGGGUUGAGUGCCCAACAUUCCCGAAGAUGGCACCCGAGACGUGUCCGCAGCCAGAACCAGCGAAGUUGUCGUAUGAGAUUCAGAUCUCUCUUGGAACAAUGAUCUUGGAGAGCAAAGCACAGAGAAGGAAUCCCAUGAUAUGCUCUCUUAUUCUUUUAAUCGGGGCAUCAACAUACUGGACACCGCAGAAAUUGCCGAAGGAGACUCAAGGGAGGACUGAUCUGUAUGUAGGCAGGUGGAUGAAAUACAAGCCACGAGAUAAAGUACCCUAAACCGGCCUUAUAAUUUAUUUGCAGUUUGCUAAUCCAUUUGGAGUUCCCCGAUUUCCACUUCAGAUAUCAUGCUUCUGAAUCCAUUUGUUGUUCCCUGCUCACUAUGUUUCCGACUAGAUAACUUUAGCCACCAAAAUUUCUGGUUAUUCAGACCACAAUUUUCAUCGGUACAAUGCAGAAAGGUGUGUGUUGAUGGUCCCAUUAUAAAGGAAAGUGUCGAAAAGAGCCUUUCAUGCUUAUCUAAAGACUACACUGAUAUUCUUCACAUAAACUGGGUAGUGUUUAUUUCAAAGAUUAUUUUUGCUCAGAAUAAUUUUCACAUCUUGUUCCAGAUUGAUUCAUACACAAUCAUAUUUCACAUUUUGCAUUUCCUUACUGAACUUGAAAAUUGUAAAUCUGAGUUCUCUUUUCCAUCCUCUGUGAGUCCUUUUGUCGUCACUGUUUUCAGCACACAUUCUUAGUAUGGAUCUAUUUUUCCGAAGGAUUUAGUGCAUGUAUUUUGCACACUCUUUAAAAACCAUGUGCAUUUUCGUUGUAAUAAUAGACUAGAUUUAUUCUAGAUUAUAAACAUAUGAUUGUUGUGUUCAUAAAUGCACAUUUGAAUAAUUCACGAGUAUAUGCAUAAGACAGCCGAAGAUAGCAGACAGGUAACCAUAAACCAGUAUAUAAUUCCAUGUUUGUCUCUUCUAAUCUAGGCACAAUAUAUCGGUGUUUCCAAUGAAACCCCGUACGGAGUAAUGCAGUUUGUACAUGCUGCAAAGCUUGAUGGACUUCCAAAGAUUAUGAGCAUCUAGAAUGGUUAUAGUCAACUUGUGAGAUGCAUCUUCGAAGGUGAAACAGAGAUGUCAGCCAUAAUUUAUUCAUUUUCAUUCAAUGGAACUCCAUGCCAUCCCUGUUGUUCUGAAACUUAUUUGCAGACAUGUAAUUUAGAGAAAGAGGGAGGAAAGAACUCCUCGGUUGUAGUUCAGAUCAUCGGCCUGCUGUGAUCUCUUUCAUAAUUAAAUUUUUAGUCGAAUAGUCUUGGCUUCUUAUUAGGUCUUUGGAGUUAUGUUCAGUGGUUAUCAUUCAUCAUCAUCAUCAUGCGAUGAUUUCAUUUUGUGGAUGCUUGAGUUUAGAAAAUUUAGGCUCUGCAGUCCAUCAUCUCUAUAUUUAUAAGUCUUUGUAGGAUGUAAGACUGCUACUCUAUGUUCAUAUAAGCUUACCUAUUAAUAAUAUUUCUGAUUUAUUUUAUAAA